AUGGAGAGGGUCUGGAGGCUCUUUUUCCUGCUGGCAGCUGCCCAAAGUGUCCAAUCACAGGUCCAGCUGGUACAGUCUGGACCUGAGCUGAAGCAGCCUGGACAGUCAGUGAAGAUCUCCUGCAAGGCUUCAGGGUACACCUUCACAUACUAUGGAAUGCACUGGGUGAAGCAGACACCAGGACAGGGCCUGAAGUGGAUGGGCUGGAUCAAUACCUACAGUGGGAAUCCAACAUAUGCUGAGGACUUCAAAAGUCAGUUUGUCUUCUCUUUGGACACCUCUAUCAGCACUGCAUACCUGCAGAUCGGUAACCUCAAGAAUGAAUACACGGCCAUGUAUUACUGUGCAAAAGGCACAGUGUGA
This is a non-coding RNA of Peromyscus maniculatus bairdii (prairie deer mouse), 363 nucleotides long. The record is from the annotation of a RefSeq genome assembly. Lineage: Eukaryota; Metazoa; Chordata; Mammalia; Rodentia; Cricetidae.